AGAGUUUGAUCAUGGCUCAGAUUGAACGCUGGCGGCAGGCCUAACACAUGCAAGUCGAACGGUAACAGGAAGCAGCUUGCUGCUUCGCUGACGAGUGGCGGACGGGUGAGUAAUGUCUGGGAAACUGCCUGAUGGAGGGGGAUAACUACUGGAAACGGUGGCUAAUACCGCAUAACGUCGCAAGACCAAAGAGGGGGACCUUCGGGCCUCUUGCCAUCAGAUGUGCCCAGAUGGGAUUAGCUAGUUGGUGAGGUAACGGCUCACCAAGGCGACGAUCCCUAGCUGGUCUGAGAGGAUGACCAGCCACACUGGAACUGAGACACGGUCCAGACUCCUACGGGAGGCAGCAGUGGGGAAUAUUGCACAAUGGGCGCAAGCCUGAUGCAGCCAUGCCGCGUGUAUGAAGAAGGCCUUCGGGUUGUAAAGUACUUUCAGCGGGGAGGAAGGUGUUGUGGUUAAUAACCACAGCAAUUGACGUUACCCGCAGAAGAAGCACCGGCUAACUCCGUGCCAGCAGCCGCGGUAAUACGGAGGGUGCAAGCGUUAAUCGGAAUUACUGGGCGUAAAGCGCACGCAGGCGGUCUGUCAAGUCGGAUGUGAAAUCCCCGGGCUCAACCUGGGAACUGCAUUCGAAACUGGCAGGCUUGAGUCUUGUAGAGGGGGGUAGAAUUCCAGGUGUAGCGGUGAAAUGCGUAGAGAUCUGGAGGAAUACCGGUGGCGAAGGCGGCCCCCUGGACAAAGACUGACGCUCAGGUGCGAAAGCGUGGGGAGCAAACAGGAUUAGAUACCCUGGUAGUCCACGCCGUAAACGAUGUCUACUUGGAGGUUGUGCCCUUGAGGCGUGGCUUCCGGAGCUAACGCGUUAAGUAGACCGCCUGGGGAGUACGGCCGCAAGGUUAAAACUCAAAUGAAUUGACGGGGGCCCGCACAAGCGGUGGAGCAUGUGGUUUAAUUCGAUGCAACGCGAAGAACCUUACCUGGUCUUGACAUCCACAGAAGAAUCCAGAGAUGGAUUUGUGCCUUCGGGAACUGUGAGACAGGUGCUGCAUGGCUGUCGUCAGCUCGUGUUGUGAAAUGUUGGGUUAAGUCCCGCAACGAGCGCAACCCUUAUCCUUUGUUGCCAGCGGUUAGGCCGGGAACUCAAAGGAGACUGCCAGUGAUAAACUGGAGGAAGGUGGGGAUGACGUCAAGUCAUCAUGGCCCUUACGACCAGGGCUACACACGUGCUACAAUGGCGCAUACAAAGAGAAGCGACCUCGCGAGAGCAAGCGGACCUCAUAAAGUGCGUCGUAGUCCGGAUUGGAGUCUGCAACUCGACUCCAUGAAGUCGGAAUCGCUAGUAAUCGUGGAUCAGAAUGCCACGGUGAAUACGUUCCCGGGCCUUGUACACACCGCCCGUCACACCAUGGGAGUGGGUUGCAAAAGAAGUAGGUAGCUUAACCUUCGGGAGGGCGCUUACCACUUUGUGAUUCAUGACUGGGGUGAAGUCGUAACAAGGUAACCGUAGGGGAACCUGCGGUUGGAUCACCU
This 1530-nucleotide ribosomal RNA is filed under the name Salmonella enterica. Its description in RNAcentral is "bacterial SSU rRNA". It matches the Rfam family "Bacterial small subunit ribosomal RNA". Lineage: Bacteria; Pseudomonadati; Pseudomonadota; Gammaproteobacteria; Enterobacterales; Enterobacteriaceae. The record is from RNAcentral.